Molecule: ribosomal RNA, 253 nt
Filed under: uncultured bacterium
Lineage: Bacteria
Description: partial 16S ribosomal RNA
Rfam family: Bacterial small subunit ribosomal RNA
Source: RNAcentral
UACAGAGGUCUCAAGCGUUAAUCGGAGUCACUGGGCUUAAAGGGUGCGUAGGCGGACUCGCAAGUGCUUUGUGAAAUCCCACGGCUCAACCGUGGAAUUGCUUGGCAGACUGCGGGUCUUGAGGUUGGUAGGGGCCGCCGGAACUCUAGGUGGAGCGGUGAAAUGCGUAGAUAUCUAGAGGAACGCCAAAGGUGAAGACAGGCGGCUGGGCCAAAUCUGACGCUGAGGCACGAAAGCGUGGGGAGCGAACGGG